GACGAACGCUGGCGGCGUGCUUAACACAUGCAAGUAGGACGCAGUUGCGAACGGGUGAGUAACGCGUAGGUAACUACCUAUUAGUGGGGGAUAACAAUUGGAAACGAUAGCUAAUACCGCAUACUAGUAGAUGGAUCUGCGUUGUAGUAGCUAGUAUGUCAGGUAAUGGCCUACCUAGGCAACGAUACAUAGCCGACCUGGGAGGGUGAUCGGCCACACUGGGACUGAGACACCGCCCAGGAUCCUACGGGAGGGAGCAGUAGGGAAUCUUCGGCAAUGGGGGGAAACCUGACCGAGCAACGCCGCCGGAGUGAAGAAGGUUUUCGGAUCGUAAAGCUCUGUUGUUAAGGAAGCGGUACUUAACCAGAAAGGGACGGCUAACUACGUGCCAGCAGCCGCGGUAAUAC
RNAcentral lists this ribosomal RNA (407 nucleotides) under uncultured bacterium. RNAcentral describes it as "partial 16S ribosomal RNA". It matches the Rfam family "Bacterial small subunit ribosomal RNA", at positions 28 to 526 of the family's 1533-position model. The record is from RNAcentral.